UGUUAAGUACAACUGCAUCAUGAAUUUUAUGGAUGUAUCAUGCUUAACUAAAAUAGUUCCCUAUUAUUAGUGUCACUAUUAUAAGCUAUGAUGUAGUAAACUUUCUUCUGCCUGUAAACUCGUGAAAUUUAUGAGUAUAUUCUUUAUUUAAAUUCGUAGUAUGAGGUUGUUGGACAUAUAUAUUUUGAAUUUUGAUAGAUAUUAUUGAUUUUUCUUCCAUGUCGAGACUAUACUUGGGUAAGGGAAGAGAUCAGAAGAAGGACGAUUAUUUAUUAGACCACUGCAAAAUUCCAGGAAAAAGAUGAUAGUGUCUUGGACUAGGGUGGAAGUCAUGGUAGAUUUAAGAAGUGAUAAUAUAUUUUUAUUUAAUAUAUUGCAUAUGCUAAAACAAUAUACCUCCGAAAUCAAAUGUUUUCUUAAUACUUUCAGAAUUAGACAUAACAUUACUCUGCUCACUUAUAAAAUAAAAUCUAAUCUUUUUGCAUGUAAAAAAAAAAAGAAGUGAUUGAAAUCUGGAUAUAUUCUGAGCCUGGAGCCAUAGGAUUUGUUAAUAGUUUUGUCAUUGGAAAUAAAAGAAAGAGAAGAAUCAAGUAAGACUCAAAAAUGUUUAGCCAGAGCCUCUGGAACUCUGAUGUUUCCUUUUAAGGAAUCAGGAGAGAUUUCUAAACGUUCAGACUUACCAGGAACAGGAAUCAAAGGUUUGGUUUGGGCAUCUUUAGUCGAGUUUGAGAUAUUUAGUAGACAUCUAUGACUGUGAUAUAGCCAUACUGAACUUUACAAUUUUUUCUGUUUAAAAAUUCUUUUCAUAUCCACCUCCUUGAAUUCCAUGGCUCAACUGAAAUACCAUGCUUUUCUGUGAAUUUUAUUUAACAGAGCUAGUCCCCUCCCCACUAUUCCUCUUAUCAUAUUAUGCAUCAAUUUCCAUGUUCAUGGAUUGGAUGAAUUAAUAUGAAUUUAUAUUCUUAAAUGAUUCAUACUGCCCAAACCAAUCUACAAAUUCCAUGCUAUCCUUAUCAAAAUGCCAUAUUUCACAUAAUUAGAACAAAGAAUUCUAAAAAUUUUAUGAAACCUCAGAAGACACCAGAUAACCAAAACAAUCUUGAGAAAAAAGAACCAAUCUGGAGGUAUGACACUCCCUGAUUUCAAACUAUACUAUGAAGCUAUAGUAAUCAAAACAGUAUGGUAGUAGCACAAAAACAGACAUAUAAUCAAUGGAAGAGAAUUCAGAUACCAGAAAUAUACCCACACAUAUAUGUACAAUUAAUCUGUGACAAAGGAGCAAAGAACAUACAAUGGAGAUCUCUUCAGUAUGUGGUGCUGUGAGAACUGGACAGACACAUACAAAAAAAAAGUAGACUACUAUCGUACCCCAUACACAAAGAUUAACUCUAGAUAGAUUAAAGGCUUGAAUUUAAGACCUGAAACCAUAAAACUCUAAGAAGAAAACAUAGGCAAUGUUCUUGUUGACAUUGGUCUUAGCAGUGUUUUUAUGGAUCUGAUUCCAAAGGCAAGAUAAACAAUAGCAAAAACAAACAAAUGAGAUUAUACAAAAAAAAAAAUUCUGCACAGUGAAGAAAAAUAUCAUCUAUCAACAAAAUCCAAUCUACUGAAUGCGAGAAAAUAUUUGCAAUCAUAUAUCCAAUAAGGGGUUAAUAUCCAACAUAUAUUUUCUAAGCUCAUAAAAUUCAACAACAGAAAGUAAACACAAUACUGUAUACAAAUAGAUAAAAAGGAAUCUACUGUAUAGCACAGGGAACUCUAUUCAGUAUUCUGUAAUAACCUAUAUGGGAAAAGAGGCUAGAAAAAAAAUGGAUGUAUGUAUAACUGAGUCACUUUGCUCUAUACCUCAAACUAACACAGGAUUGUAAAUCAGCUAACUCCAAUAAAAAUAUUAAAAAAGAAUGCAUUUAAAAAUUAUUUUGAAAACAAUUAUUUCAUUUUAUUUAAACUUUUUCUCAACGUAUUAUUUUUGGAUGAUUGAAUAAAGUUUUGAAAAAAGCAACAUGAGAAAGUGAGAGAUAAAAUGAUUUUUUUUAAUGCAUGCUCUUAAAGUUCUUAUUAACCUCAAGCCAUUUUGGGCUUUGGUAAUACCCCUAACAUUUUUCUUAAAAUGAAAAUAUUCCUCCAUUUAAAAUUAUCUUUUAGCCUAGGGGACAAAAAUAAACCAAUCCUUAGCUAUAAUGAUUUAAAGUCUUUGAACUUUUCAAACUGAAGCAAAUGUCACACGAGUUAUCUUUCAUCUUAUAGCUAUUAUUCUAACAGAAUUCAGUUUAAUGACACUCUGUCCAGAGAAUCAUCAUCUAUUUUUGACCCUUUUAACUUAGAACUUACUCAUUUCUCACCAGAAAAUCAUUCCCCCCUGAUUAUUUCUAGAACUAGUAUUUUCCAUUCUUUAGAAGCCUCUCUGAAGGCUGUUUCCCUCCAACUCUUAUAAGCUUUAUCAUUACAACUCAAAGCAAUACCAAGUUUAGAACAGUUUUAUGACAUUUUUAUAUACUGAAAAUAUUAGUGCUUCAAAUAUUUUUAAUGAAUGAACAGAAUUAAAAAUCUUUAUUAUCUCUUUUAAUUUAUGUUUUAUCUUCUUUUUUAAAGUAAGUUUUUCUUUUUAUUACAGUUCAUUUACAGUGUUGUGUCAAUUUCUGCUAUACAGCAUAGUGACCCAGUCAUACAUACAUAUGUAUUUAUACUCUUUUUUCAUACUGUCUUCCAUCAUGUUCUGUCCCAAGAGAUUGGAUAUAUUCCCUGUGCUAUACAGUAGGACCUCAUUGCUUAUCCAUUCUAAAUGUAAUAGUUUGCAUCUACCAACACCAUACUCCCCAUCCAUCCUAUUUGCUCCUUUCCCCACCUCCAGCACCACAAGGCUGUUCUCUAUGUCUGAGAGGUAUAUACCACAUCUUUUUGUUUUUUUAUUUUGUUUUGUUUUUUGUCUUUUACAGCCACGCCUGCUACAUUUGGAAGUUCCCAGGCUAGGGGUCAAAUCUGAGCUGCAGUUGCUGGCCUAUGCCAUAGCCAUAGCAAUGUGGGAUCUGAGCCGCAUCUGCAACCUAUGCUGCAGCUUGUGGUAACGUUGACCCCUUAACCUACUGGGUGAGGCCAGGGAUCAAACCCAUAUCCUUAUGGCUCCUAGUUGGGUUCCUAACCUGCUGAGCCAUAACAGUUACUCCAUUUUUUUUUUUCAUCUGCAUCUUCUUAAUCUGUUCAUCUGUCAGUGGACAUUUAGGUUGUUUCCAUGUCUUGACUGUUGUGAAUAGUGCUGCAAUGAACAUAUGGGUGCAUGUAUCUUUUUGAAUUAUAGUUUUGUAUGUACAUAGGUCCAGGAAUGGGAUUACUGGAAUCACUAGC
Molecule: long non-coding RNA, 3342 nt
Filed under: Sus scrofa (pig)
Lineage: Eukaryota; Metazoa; Chordata; Mammalia; Artiodactyla; Suidae
Description: lncRNA (ENSSSCG00000056159.1)
Source: RNAcentral